UACGUAGGGGGGCAAGCGUUGUCCGGAUUUAUUGGGCGUAAAGAGCGUGUAGGCGGUUAGGUAGGUCCGUUGUGAAAAACUCGAGGCUCAACCUCGAGACGCCGAUGGAAACCAUUUGGCUAGAGUCCGGAAGAGGCGAGUGGAAUUCCUGGUGUAGCGGUGAAAUGCGCAGAUAUCAGGAAGAACACCCGUGGCGAAGGCGGCUCUCUGGGACGGUACUGACGCUGAGACGCGAAAGCGUGGGGAGCGAACAGG
This 255-nucleotide ribosomal RNA is filed under the name uncultured bacterium. RNAcentral describes it as "partial 16S ribosomal RNA". It matches the Rfam family "Bacterial small subunit ribosomal RNA", at positions 524 to 776 of the family's 1533-position model. The record is from RNAcentral.